This 155-nucleotide transfer RNA is filed under the name Exutisphaerella laricina CBS 326.52. Its description in RNAcentral is "tRNA-Und (NNN) (tRNA-Und-NNN-9-1)". The record is from RNAcentral. Lineage: Eukaryota; Fungi; Ascomycota; Dothideomycetes; Mycosphaerellales; Mycosphaerellaceae.
GACAGUGCCUAGCGGAGUGGUUAACGCGCUGCGUAAGUUCCUACGACACCAUUAUUGUCCACUCGUCUCUAAUCAAACAAUAGCCUGCUAUUACCAUCGUAUAGCGAGAUCAGGCAGUUCCUUCGGGAGCGUGUGUUCGAAUCACACAGGUGUCG